Molecule: ribosomal RNA, 497 nt
Filed under: uncultured bacterium
Lineage: Bacteria
Description: partial 16S ribosomal RNA
Rfam family: Bacterial small subunit ribosomal RNA
Source: RNAcentral
GAUGGACGCUGGCGGCGUGCCUAAUACAUGCAAGUCGAGCGAACAGAUGAGGAGCUUGCUCCUCUGACGUUAGCGGCGGACGGGUGAGUAACACGUGGAUAACCUACCUAUAAGACUGGGAUAACUUCGGGAAACCGGAGCUAAUACCGGAUAAUAUAUUGAACCGCAUGGUUCAAUAGUGAAAGACGGUUUUGCUGUCACUUAUAGAUGGAUCCGCGCCGCAUUAGCUAGUUGGUAAGGUAACGGCUUACCAAGGCAACGAUGCGUAGCCGACCUGAGAGGGUGAUCGGCCACACUGGAACUGAGACACGGUCCAGACUCCUACGGGAGGCAGCAGUAGGGAAUCUUCCGCAAUGGGCGAAAGCUUGACGGAGCAACGCCGCGUGAGUGAUGAAGGUCUUCGGAUCGUAAAACUCUGUUAUUAGGGAAGAACAAAUGUGUAAGUAACUAUGCACGUCUUGACGGUACCUAAUCAGAAAGCCACGGCUAACUACGUG